Molecule: ribosomal RNA, 253 nt
Filed under: uncultured bacterium
Lineage: Bacteria
Description: partial 16S ribosomal RNA
Rfam family: Bacterial small subunit ribosomal RNA
Source: RNAcentral
UACGUAGGGUGCGAGCGUUAAUCGGAAUUAUUGGGCGUAAAGCGCGCGUAGGCGGCUACCUAAGUCGGAUGUGAAAGCCCCUGGCUCAACUGGGGAAGUGCACCCGAAACUGAGUAGCUAGAGUACGAAAGAGGGUCGCGGAAUUCCCGGUGUAGAGGUGAAAUUCGUAGAUAUCGGGAGGAACACCGGUGGCGAAGGCGGCGACCUGGGUCGAUACUGACGCUGAGGCGCGAAAGUGUGGGGAGCGAACAGG